Anopheles funestus (African malaria mosquito) is the source of this 14148-nucleotide long non-coding RNA. RefSeq lists it as uncharacterized. The transcript is spliced from 3 exons. NCBI's taxonomy places the organism in Eukaryota, Metazoa, Arthropoda, Insecta, Diptera, Culicidae. The record is from RefSeq and is a predicted model, not a curated record.
AUGAUUUUUUAAAACAUUUUAAUGAAAUACAUUUCGGUAUCACAGCAUCCUCACUGUCAUACGAAUUCAUCCCACCGUGAUGCCCUUCGUUCACUGCUGGGGAAUUCUUUCUCUCGUUAUCGUUAUCACGUACCCUUAACAACCCGACCACAGUUAGCGUCUGUUCUGUGUGCGUUUCUCUUUCUGCGUUCGGGAGCAGCGAUGUCCUGCGUGUAUUGGUAGCAGUUGCGUGCUAACCGAUAACACGAAACCCCCAGAAACCCGAACACCGAGAGGAACUCAUUGCUGAAGCUUGCGAAGCCACUGGCGAAGCAUCUCCAAACCAGUUCAGAUCACUGCUGCGCGCUGUGGUGAGUGGAGUGAAAACAUCUUUUCACCACGGAUUGUUCUCGCUGCAAAACGGGUAAACUGUGUCGGUGUUUCGUCCUUUUUGAGGCGGCACACGGUUAGGGUGUGGUGUGUGGCUGGGGAGUUUUGCAAAGUCCUUCGGUCCGGUGCAUAUCCGGGAACGGUUCGGCAAUGUUCGGGUCGACCCGAACCGACGGAAGGAAGCGCGUGCGGAUUGCAUUCCACCCGGUUCGGUGACGUUCCAUGGUGCGUCUCCAUUUCACGUUCUUCACCGUUCUAUCGGUACCAGUGCCAGUGUGGUAGUGCGUUGUGACGAAGCAGUAAAUGUGACCGGGAUCCUGCCAAACAGUAGCCAUCCGUCGGCUGGGUCCUGCUGGUGUUGGCAACUGCAAAUUUAGUCAUUGGCCUGGCCCAGUCCGGAGUGGUUGUGCUUUCUAGUGGUUCGCUCCCGGGCUACUUCUCAACAAUAGCAGCAGCAGUAGCAAGACAGACAGUUACAACAAAUCAGUUUGCUAGUUAGGGACAAGUAGUAGCAGCAGCAGCAGCAGCUAAAGAGCGCGUGUGAAAAUUGAAGUUGAAGUUAGUUUUUAGUCCUAAAGUGAAACAUUUGUCUUAUCGCCUUUUUUUUGGAAUCGAAACGUUUCCCUUUUCUUGUUGGAGGUUUUAAAUAAUGUGUACCCAGCUCGCAAGCAGUUAAUAGUUGUAAUAGAAUUAAAGAAACAUUCCGCAGACAUUCCGACUGCUUGCGUACGAUAAGACGCCAACAUUGGGCCACUCUAAAUCAGCAGCUGCCGCUUAUACCAAACAAAAAAAAACAGUGCAAUCGGUCGUGUUUGUUCGUUUAAAUCGCGCGAACUUUUCGCUCCUAACCCUCUCGCUUACGCACUCUCUCACAUUCUCUCAUUCCCUCUCACGGGAAUGCGCGUUCAAUUUAGUGGCGUAAAAUUGGUGUCCCCCCCCAGGCAGCAUCACGGCUACAAUUAAAACAAAUCGUUAACUGAGCCAAAAGCACACACCGAACGGAAAAGAACUGCGAACACACAACAAAACACACCCGGCGCUGAUGAUGAGUGCUCGACGUUUGGACGAUGCCUUUAGGAAACGUUUGCCACCAUGGUCGAAAUCCACCGCACGCAGAACUCCUCCCCACAGUGCCGGGGAAGUGUGUUGUCGCUUCCGCAAAGGCUCUACAAACGGCUGGUGGUCGCUCGCGUGUAAGCAUGACUAUGGUGCAACCCUGCCGGGAGAAGCCUGCACAAUUUAUGACCCACCUGACCCAUCACCGCCCGCCAUUGUAAGCGGAAGCGGGUUGUAUGGGUGUUGUGGUUAAAAACAGGGGAAUGAAAACCAUCCUCUUCUUUGCCCCGUUUGGGUAUGAAACGAUCUCGAGAGCCAUGUUUUUUGGGGGGCGUUUGCUACUGCGAACGUGUCAAAAGCAGCAGUAACAGCAGCAGCAGCGAGAGAUGCAGGCAACCGAACUUCUUCCACAUUCCCGAAGCCGUUCCCGGGGAUGUGGAGUCUUGAUUUUGCGCCGAGUUUGAGCCAACCAACCCCCUCCGGGGAGGAGGCUGUGGAGGUCGAAAACUCCAAGCAGGGAUUUUGGUCAUCGAGAAUGAUGUUGUGGUUGCCUGGGCGGCAAUUCUCUACGCCCCGACAUACUGCAACGAAACCACCCAUCCAGCAACAGUCUGGAAGACUGGAAGGAAAAUCAGCAUUUGUGCCUCGAUGCCAUCCGACACCGACGUCGUCAUCGGCAGUAUCGUCGCCGUCGUCGUCGUCCCCACCAAACGUCCAACCGGAUGGACCGAACGGAAAGCAGCCACGGUCACGUUCGCAACUAAAAGUAAGAGUUGCUGAUCUUUUAAUUUCUACAUCAUAAAGCAAACAAGUCACGUCUGCGUGAAGAGGCAGUGUUGGGCCUCGUUUUGUUUUUGGAUGAAAUUUGCACACCGUGGCAUGUGAUUUGUGUGGGUGGGCGGAUGUCGCAAAACUGUGAAAAGAGAGCCACACCGAAAAAGCGAAAAACUUUUCUUCAAACCUGUGCCUGUGCGCGUACCCAUCACGCUGGAAUGUACAUUUGGUACGCCGUUCAUCAGGCGGAAAAGGAAGGUAACGCUGAAGAAAUAUUUGCUUCCUUUUUCCCCCCGACCUCCGGGCGUAUGGAACGAUGUAACGAUGCCACGGCACAAGAGAAAAAUGGCAGGUACUGCGCUAUUCCACCGAUAACGACAAUGUUCUUCGCUUGACCGACCGGAACUCGUGUUGGACGCAGUCUCGAAGAUUUGUAGUCCGCACGGCAAGCGCAACUUUUAAAUAGGUAAAUAUCAGAAUGUUACUCAAAUUGGAUGUAUCAAAUUGUAAGUACAUCAAUGAAUCAAUGGUGAACAAGCGAAAAGGGCUCUUGUGGCUGUGAGUGUAUGUGUCAGGUUUUUUUUUAUUGAUUUAGUAAUUUGCAACAAUCAGCAAUAAUGCUGCCACGUGUUGGCACUUUACAUUGCUUCCCAACAUAACUUUUGUUUUGUUAUUAUAGAAUUAUAAAAGCUUACAUAUCAAAUGUUAACUUAUUUACAUUUCAUAUCGUUGGAACUAUCUGUGUUUUACGCUUUAACACGAAUUGUUUUAAUUACUUAUAUAUUUGCACAUGUCAUGUUUAAAAAUUUGUGUAAAUAUUUUAUUUCAAUGUAUGAAUGUUAUGAAGAUAUUAAACAGUUAAAUAACAUUGAAAAAGCAUUUUUACCCAUUAAUUUAUUUUUAUUUUGAAAUAUUUAUAAAGUACCAGGCGCCUCCAUGUAAGAAAUUUUCAUUGGCUUUUUUGAACUUCAAAAUUAAUUUAACUGAUUUUAUGUGUUCUACGAUUUUUUGGUAUUUGUUUUCUAGUCUCAGGUGCGAUAUAAACUAUAUCAAGCAUUUGAAAAAUGAAACCAACCAGAACGUAAAACUCGAAAUAAUUCUACGACGCAAUUCAUAAUUAAACUUUUAAAAACUUGCCAUAAACAAUAAUAGGCAUGGCUUGUUUUUGAAAUAUAUAUAGCUCCUUUGACAAGCUGAUUUAUACUCUAGUUUUUUUCCUAAUUUUUCUAUAUUUGGGCAUAUUUUAAAAUAACUUCAUCAUUGCUAUUCAAAUGUCUUUCUCCAUUAGGAAACUAUAAUUUGAUAGAGUAAGACAUUACCUCGAUUGACGUCACAUGCUUUUGCGUGUAUUGGUGACAUUUCCAAAAACGACAUUUUCACCGAAUGGAACGGAACGACAGGCAGGACACGGCGAAAGACAUCCCGUAGAUGCUACCGUGUCAUACGAUCCGUUCGGUGUGGCUUGAAAACGCAACCCACGCACCAUGCUGUGCCGAAUAAACGAAUGAAGAUAUUAAUCAAUCAUCUCCAAUUAAGCUGCCCGAUAAUAUCGGAAACCCUUCCAACCCACCAGUGGGCAUGUUGCAAAUGAUCAUUUGUGCGCAUCUAACAAGACCCGUCGAAGAAGACGACACCAAAUCCAAAGUUUCCUCCUUCAUUUCCCUUCCACAUCAAGGACCAACUGCUGCCCCCCUCCCAAUUUUGCUGUCUCGCAAAUUGAUUUAUCUCAAAUGCACAUGUGCGUAUGUGAGGAACGUUAGCCCUUUCUACGGGAUUUCGGUGUGAAAAUGAUUCCGCAAUCCGGCACACGUUACUCAAACACACAGCAUACCGUGUACGGGUAGGUGAGUUUAUUUAGGGGUGCGGUUGUUUAUGCCACUUCCGGCAUUCCGGAUAAAUGAUCGGCAUUCGGUCUUUGCACUACGGCACAAAACUCAUUACCCACAGACAAAAUCCGUUUCAAUUAUGCACCGACAGUGACGGUCUUGGAGAUGUGCUUGACUAACUUUAACGCAUCGUUCGAACACUGUAUCUCGGUGGAUGUAUGUUCGAGUCACCAAUCGAUGGAAUCGUUGGUCGUUUUUCCAAUCCGAAUCAUUCCACCAUCGACAGUAUGGACCGUGACCGUAACUCGAUGCCAAUUAAUUCUUGAAUCAUUGCGAGUCUGGGAGUGUUUGUGAGUGCAAGAUGUGGGUCGAGGUACAAUUACUUGGAAGACAUUGGACCGGUCCUCCAUACGUCAAGCAACGUCUGUGUCGAUCAAUUAAAUCAAUCAACGAGUGAAGGAAUCUUCCAGAACACUCGCUCAAAGGUGUUACAUCGACUCGAACCGAAACUGACCCAGCGUGUGCUGAACAGAAAGGUUCCAAAGAUUGAAUUCUGAAUGAUGACUGAACGGGUUCCUGACUGACAUCGGCUCAGCUCACAACUUACUCCCCGCGAAGGUGAAAACUUCCACCAUCAUUUAUCAGCGACGAAAGGAUCAAAUGGUUUAAUAGAUGGGUCCCGCCCGUGCUCUAACUGCGUAAAAGUGAAUCCUUCCCGUUGAUUUGCAGGACCAACGUUUAUUUUUAAUGAUGGCCAUAGGAAAUGGGCACCCAUUCAUCACACCCUCUCGAAGUCUGACCCUUUGUGUGUGAGGUGUGAGGAGUCUCUGAUACUGAACCAGAAACGAUGAAAGCUUCUGAUGGAAAGGAAUUGUGACUCGUUUUUUCUUCCCUUUUUAUCCUUCUUCUCCUACUCUUCUACUUGCAUUUAUCGUUCUGGGGGUUGUUUACACUUUUCAGGCUUGGGCUGGGAAGAACAUUGAGGAUCUUUUUUUUCGGGCGAUUUUUCACUUGCUGGAUGCGCUCUCCUAAUCCCAAAAUACAGGCUGGAGGACGGCUUUCUGGAGGCGUUUUUUUUUUUCUUUGCCGCCCGAUUUGUGUUCCGUUCGGCUCAGCUAAACGAUUACCCUACUUUUUAUGAUCCUUUCUAACAGGAUGGUUUAUGGUUUGGUAACACGUUGCGAUAUUUGGCUUGCGGAAGUUUACGAGUUUCAACAUUUUUUUUCCUCACUUUUCUACACUUUUGACAACAAAAUAUAUCCAAAAAAACCUUGACUUUGAGCGCGGAAGUUGCUACAGAGAUACGGUGGUGACUGCUAAAGCUAAAAAGCUAACUCGAAAUUAAGUCAAACAAACAGCACACACAUGUACGUUAAGAUCAUCCGCAAUGCAUCGUGUUUCUGUAUGUUUGUGUGUGUGUAGUUCUUUGUUGUGAAAUGCAGGACGAUAGGGGAUGUGUAAGAAUCCAGCGAGGCACGGCAAAUUGAUAGGUUCAACUCGUUCGGUCGCUUUUCCUUUUUUUUCCUCCCCCAGUCCGUCAUUUGAUAUGCUUCGAUGCGCGUUCCGCCUUGCGAGCGUUGAUGGAUGAAUGGAGAAGGACAAACCUCCAGCACACAACCCUUAGCUUAUUUCCCUGUGAAGCGUUUUGUUUAUCCUGAUGAAAAGCACUCCAAGAAUGGGGAACCCUCAGGCAUUUUGCGAGGUGAACGGCAUAGAGCGGAUUGGGAAAAAGUCGUCAGAGUCGAUAGCCAUGUUUGAGCAAAUAAUUACUCAGACGUUUGUCUCGGCAGACAAUGCUGCGCUUGGGAGUAAGCGGGAAGCAACGACAACAACAAAAAAUAGGAGCCCAUUCGCCCUCUCUCGUCCUUAUUUAAUGCCUCCAUGCUUGCUGCCUUUUUCCAACAUCACAACAUUGGAUAUAAUUGAUCAUUGUUUGCUCUGCUCCAUUGUUUGCCAGACCGAAUGGAGCGUACACGUUGCUCCCUCGUGUGACUGCGUUAUGUCGAUGGGGCUUUGCUUUUUUUUUUAUUUUCUUCCGUAGAGUAAAGCUUUUCUAUCCGCUUGAAGCCGAACCACCGAACGCCGAAAAAGCGUUCGUGUGUUGGCGCAUUAUUUCACAUGUGUUUCGUUCCCGGGGAACGAGAAGUCGAUUUAUACCUUCAAUUUCUUCGGUUCUGUUGUUCUUUACGAUAAAUCCAAAAUUCCGUCCACCGACACGAUGCGUGGGCUUUUUGUUUGGUUGCACAUAUAUUUUGCUUCUACAGAGCGCAAUACGGGAAAGUUCAAGAUCGAUAAAUCAUUUUGUUGUGUGACAGUUUUAUUUCACGCGAGUGUUGUCUCCAUUUGAAUGGGAAUUGUCAGGUAACGUUGUCUGGGGUGGGAAAAUAGCUUUGCUGCUGCAAGUGGUACAAGCGGUUUAGCGUUAAAUGCCACUUGUUUGUUCUAGAUAUAUGCUGGCAAAACAUAAUUUACUCAUCUGCAUAUUGUGUUGUCAUCGUUUAAGCAAGGUAAUUAUUUACUGUAGCAAUUGGGCUAUUUAUAAUUUCAAAUUCGAAAUUAUGUCCCUUAAACUCUUUGACGUUUAAGCCAAAUAUUUUUCUCAUCUACAAAAAUCAUUAUCAAUUGUUCAAGUAUUAUCGUAACAAUGUUUUUGAAACGAAAUAUCAAAAUGAAACGCCUGUCAAAGCCGGCAAAUGUCUUUCUGAACGAAUAAACUAAAAAAAUGGUAAAAUAAUUUCAUCAAAUAUAAACCAUUCGUGCUCUGAACUAGUAAUAUUGAGUAAGUCUAUUUGACUUGAAGAAAUAAAAAAAGUGUUUGGUGGGGCAGAGAACUACAUAUUAAAUAUGACGAAAUUUUGCUUUUACUUAUGGCAGAAGAAGAUGACUAAUAUGUAGCUAGACGAUGAAGACACAGUUCAUAACUCAAUAUAGAAAAUGGAUAAGUUGUUGUUGGAAUUAAUGAUUCUGCUCAAGAAGCGUGAAAUCAAACCUCAUUAACUACUUGUUUAGAUACUUAAGAAACUAUUCCUAUUUUCAAUUGGGUUAAUAACUCAUAAGAUCCUCACACAUUGAAUGAAAAGUGAGUGUAAUUUUGGGCUUAUAAAUACAUUAAAGCAGCAUUGCAUAUUGUUGUCAUAGGACAUUUUCAUGGUAGUUACACAAAUUGAUCAGUUACUGUCUAAUAUCAAUAAUGUAAUAUAACAAUUUACAUUCAAGAUGAAUUAAAUGGAACUAUUUUUGGGAUUGAAUACGAAAAUAUGACCCUCUUUAGUCUCCUCUAAAAAGCUCCGCAUUAAAAAAAAACGUAAUUUGCCAGCAGUACAAUGUAAUUUUCAUUAGAAAUGAUACAAGAAAUAUCGAUACAAUAAACCAAACUCGUCGUUUAUUUCCUUUUAUAUGGUCCAUAGGGAAAAAUAUUUCCAAGAAGUUAUAGAAAACUUACACAUCCUGCUAAGCUUUUCUGAUGAUAUUCUCUUACUUUACACCCCCAAUAGCUAAAAUAUUGUGUUGUAUUGGCAUUUUUAGUCCGGGAUAGCCUAUGGUCCCUUACAGGUUAAAAUUAAAUUACUAUUUAUUUUUGCUUAUUUUCAUAGCAAAUUGGAUUUAACGUAAUUAAUUCUAAAGGUUUUGUUUUUUUUUUCGCUAGUAAACCGUGCAAAAUUACAAAACUUCAAAUAAAAAAUAUUUCAACAGCAAAUUUAAGCCAAAUGUUGGCUCUAACCAUAGUAGGAACAUUUAUUGACCAUUUGUAAUGGUAAAUCUAAAUAUUUAAACUAUAUCAGUGUGUGCGUGUUUGUUUAAAAAAAUAUCAAACUAUAAAACACCAAUUUCAACGAAAACUGUAAAAAACAAACUCUCGCUAAGCUCUCUGAAUAUAAAAUAUUUAAACCUCGAAAGUAAAACAAAAAAACCCAAAGCGUGACGCCAUCCGUUGCUAUCGGAUACCAAUAUUAGCUGAACGUUUGCACUUUGCUUCCAUUCAUUGUGGCAACACAAAAUAUUGUCCAUCAUUUACGGUCGGCUCGCCAAUGGCACCCGGUCAUCAGACGCGCGACUAACUCGUACGCAACGUCCACUUUGUUGCAUUGGGUGUAUUUUAUCGAAAUAAAGCUAUUGUUCCCGUUUCAUAGAUUAUUUAUAGCGCCCGGUCCAUGUGUGUCGACGGACUAAUGUUCAAAUAAAAAAAAUGAAAAGAAAAAGAAUGUAAUAAAAAGAAAUAUAGCCAAGUGAAUGUAAAGGAUUGUCCGUUGGUAGGGUACGAAAAUGGUCCGAUACACAAACAAUUCGGUGGUGUUUGCGUGUGUCGCUACAAUGUGGAGGUCCUCUUAUCCCUACGUACGCCGGCUGCAAAUCGCUUAUGAAUGUUACAUGACUGGUGGUUCCUUUUCAUGAAUAUGUGUGUGUGUGUGUGUAACAUGUAUAUGUCACACCAUACCAUCUCCACACUUUCCCACCCGAAUCCCCGACUCAUCUUUCACAUGCAAGCGAUAUCUGUGGAUGCUGAUUCGUUCAGCUAUUUGGCAAUGAUUUUGUAGUUUCAAUGUUUUGCUUUUCAGCAAUAUUUUUUUCUUCUUUUUGUUGUGUUGCAUGCUUCUGUAUGUAACAAUCAGCUAUAUCAUAUUUGUUGCCAGCGAGCAUAAAGCGAGCGGCGCUGGUUUUAUAUGAAAUGGACACGUCGUUGGGUGGUCAGUUCGAUCGGUUUUGGAAAUUCUUUUUUCUCUCUCUAAUGUUUCAGUUUAACAGAAUACCAUGAGCGAGACACAACAGCUAGGCCAAAAAGGCUACUGUAGCCACUUUUAUUAUUAUCUGUUCAUACCCACCCUGCUUCACCCACCGUUCCCGGUGCGCGGUGACAUAGAAAAGCGGAACGGAAAGUGGGUUUGAAAACACCAGCCCGAGUGUAGAAUGCGCGAAAUGAUUUUCAACGAGCCUUUCAACGAACGACGAGGAAGGAAUUUUGUGCCUUAUUUCGCUGGCAGUGCAACUAUGUUACCAUUUUAUUAUUUACCCAUUUCGGUGCCGAUGCUGGUGGUAGUUCGCGCCAAGGGGAUGAAGGGUGAAGCAUAUCCAUAUGGUAUUCUAUUCCUUCCAUGCACAACCAAAGCAUAUUGUUCAUAAAUUUUUAUCACUAAAUUUGAUGAUGGAUGGUGCGAUUACUGUUUGUUAUUACCAGGCCAGCACAAGUGUAGCUGGUCGGUUCACUCGAAUAGAGAUGAAUAUUGUUUUGUUACCGCUUUUUUGUUGUGUGUUCUUUCAUUCUUUCGCUCUUCUUCUUUAGCUCUUUGAAAUAGUUCAGUAUUUAGGGGUGAGAUAAAUUUACGUUUCCAUUUAUGACGGAAAAUAGAAAAGCGCCAGUGUAGCAGGUCCGAUGAAACACAGCGUUCAAGAAAUGGGCGCUGACGUGGGGUUGUAAUCCAUCUGCUGUGGUUGAAUGAAAUUUUACGAGAAAACAUAUACUUGUACUAACCAUACACAUGCUCUGCUUCACGUUUUUUUUUGGAAUGGCUAGUAAAGUGGACAAGCUAAUGCGAUAGUAUAUGACAGGAAAAAUAUGAUUAUGUGUUUUUUUUUCUUUCAACCGAAUUUUUACUGCCAUUACAUCCGUCGGAAUACUGCCGCGAAAAUGGGAUCAUAUAAUGUUUUAGCCCAGUUAGGUAAUUUAUAGCGGUAAUUCAUUUUGCGGAUGAUAUGCUAAAAAAUUUGAACAAAUAUUCGAUAAAUUUAUCAACAGUCCAAUGUUUUUGGUUUAAUCGCCAUUGGCAUGAUCAGCAUCUUAGAAAAUGGUUCACCAUUUCGAACCUAAAGUAAAUCGAAAACUCCAAAUGAAUUGUACAUUUAUACUUGUUUUGUCUAGUAUUUUGUUAGCCUCAUGAUCAUUUAACCUGUUUUCUGUAGGCCUUAGGUCCGGACUGAGUAUAGGGCAACACAGACAAUUUAAGGUUUUAAAGAGUUACCAACUACUUUCGGUGACCAUAUGAUUUCGAUCUCAAAUUGUCUAAAUGAUAUAUAUAAAGUUUUGGUGCGCCCUGGUGGUAUAUGUGAUAAAGGGCGCCGAUCUAUUCUGCUGCGUGGUAAAGUAAAUCUUGAUAUGUCAGGCAUGUAACCAACCGAAAAAAAAAACAUCAUUAACAAACACAAUACAGUGAACAGCCACCGGUUAUUGGAUCGUUGGUUAGCCAAAAUGUGUCCACUGCCUCUCGAUUCGUUGAUUUUCUUUUGAAAUGGAAUUGAUGAGAACGAAGGCAUCCAUUUCCCAGGUGUUAAGUUUGACAUGCUGGACACAAAAUGUUGUCCACAACAGUGCUCCAUUUUGCGUGUGUCUCUGUCGACAAUCGUACGACGCUUGUUAGCAUUUUCCAAGCUGGAGAAAGGUCCACAAGCAAACGAAGCUAGAGUUAUAUAAAAAAAGAAACAGCAUCAUCCGAUUCUUUCCGUACCAGUGCGUGCCAAAGCGGGUUGGAUCGGUCCGCCUCAUGGGUCAUUUGACAUUUAUCGGUGCGAAGUCCUCACACGCUUGCCGAAGCGUACCUCUGAAGGUAUGUGCGUACGAGAUCCUUCAAAACUCGAACUUUUUCACACAGCUAACCCAUUACAACAAACACAUGAUGACCUGAUAAGCGAAGGUGUAAUAAAGGGUAACGGGGUGUGUGUGUUUUUUUUUAUUUUAUUAAAUUACACCCAUUCCCAUUUAUUUGUAGACGAGAAACGACAAAAAAUCUUUUACACCCCAAAAACUCUGCCUUUUUUCACCUAAACCCUACAGCUUAAGGAUGACUUGCACCGGCAUUAAGAUGAUAUAAAUAUUUAUCUGUUUUUUUUUUUACUUUUUAGGUACCAUUUUGUACAUUUUGGUACGGUGUCGAAUGCUUAUUAUUUCUGCUUGACAGAAAAACCCCCCCAACUAGGAUAUCUUUGCCCAUUAUGCUACAUCAAAUGAAACUGAAGAGGACACACAAUAAAAUCCGUUCCACUUCCGUUACCGUGUGUUUGGGGAUGGUGCAUUUGCCUUCCAUCGAAGGUUCCACACACACACAUAACACACACAUACACAGGACAUAAACUCGUUCCCUUUUACAUCUUGUCGGAUCACCGGCUCUCGUUUGGUUUAGGUUUGCUGAAGGUUUUGUGAAUGUUUGUACACCGUAGAGGGCACAUGUAUGGCGAUGGGAACGAUGUGAAGCGGUGCGAAGCCUGAUCGACAUGGCCGCAGGUUCUCAAUGUGUGUGUGUGUGUGUCGGUAUUUGUGAGCAAUGUCAUAGAAAAGGGUUCAAUGAUUUUCUUGUUAUUGAAUAUUUUAUGUGCUGGAAUGGAAUGGCCAAACAGGACAAAAACGUGAGGAAGGUUUGUCGCAACCGUGUUUACCAUGUUUACCACCAGAGACAGGUUUACGUUGUUUUCCGGUGUCGAGAACGUAGACCAGUAACGGCAUGCACGACGAGACAAAUGUUUCCAUGGUUUUUUUUUUUUUGUUGGUUGUUGUGUCUCUUUUGGUCGGUUGCAUAGCGAAAUCAUGCCGAGUGGUAAGUGGGUUAUGUUGCGGAAAAAUAAUGAUGAAAUGAGAACCAAAUGUUUCACGCAUGGCUAAACCCACACAUCAUCGUAAUCGUGGAGGCACUCUUUUAUGGUCCGAGAUGUUCAUGUGUCAUGUGCUGAGAGAGAGAGAGAGAGAGAGGGAGUGGAAAAAACUGUUGGAUGAUAUUGUGUUUGUACAAUCGUAUUCUUUUGUCGAGACUAAUAUAAAAUGGUUUACAAUUUUUUUUUCACCUCUUCCACGAAAACUCAAACAGCAAUACGAAGGCUCGUUUCGUUUUUUUAGGCGCAUGAUAAGCGCGUGUUAAAAUUACGAAAGAAAAAGAAUACGUUCCAAUAGUAUAGCCCCUUUAUCUUUAUGACUUCAAAAUGGUGAAGAAAACCAUUUCCAAAAUUGAUGAUGAUGAUGUCACCCGUUCUGUUCCGCAAAACCGGACAUAGCGGAAGGCAUCGCGGACGUUGAGAACCAUCUGAAGGAUGCUGACAUCAUUAAAAGUACACGAAGUAAUGUCGGAAGCAGUAAAGUGCCUCACUGCCAUUCCGUUUGUGUGGCGUUUCUUCGUGCGAAUUUUUCCCAACUUCUUCAACAGUCCUUGUAAUUUUGUAAGAGCGACCAGGCGCCUCCACCAGUGAGUGGAGUGAGUUUUGAAAAUGCUGCAUAGAAAAUUCAUCCACUCAAAAUGAUUUACACACACUCACACACACACACAUAUCUUCGCAUGUGCCGAUGCAGGGAAUGGAAGCUCAUUCUCCGCGUUGUAAGAGAUUUAGCGUCCCUACUCUCGGGUAAGCGCACGAGUGGGCACCUAUUUUCAUGUUCAAUUAUAAUUUUAAUUUCAAGUGACACUCCUGUGACGGCGCAUUAGUGCCAAGAGGAAGUCCAAAUAGGGAACAGGUUACUGCAUCUUACCCGCGCUAUAUAUAUUGGCAAAACCAUGUGACGAAAGCUCCACCAGCGCACCAGUGCAUGUCGAAAGCUGUUACACUUUACAUAACGCUACCCCGUUUGUUUGCCAAAAAGGAGUUCGCGAACUAGCGUGAACUGUCACGUAAGGAACCCUUUUCCAUUUUUAUCGCCUUUUAGUAGGUGUGUUCGUUGCUGAGGGUGUGAUCUUAAUUGCAUUAUGUCUCCGUAGGCAUAAUGCAUCUCGCUUGUCUCCUCCGGUUCAUUAUCGAUUUUUCUUAAUUAAGAUUGAACGUUUCACAUCCAAGGCCACUCAACAGCAAACCAAACAGAAAAAAGGUAUAUGAAAAAGGAUAAGUAGAUGGAACUUUUUUUUGUUGUUUUUUUGCUGUUUGCUAUUAAAUGGUUGCCGGUCCUUACCACUUUUGGGUUUUAAUUUUAACCCCGACCCGGACACACUGUGGUAGCCCAAAAAAAAAGAAUGAAAGAAAAAUAAACUCAGUGGAAAAUGAACGAAAUGAAAAUUUAAUCCGACACAGUUGCUCUUAGUGCUCUUAACGCGCGAAGGAAAAUGAAAAUUGAAAUUAAUUUUUCAAUAUAUUCACGCGUCACACAAAAUGGCGGCGGAUGGCACGCGGUUCUACGGUGCGGAAUUUCACGCCUUUAAACGCGACCGUGAUCGGUGUGAAAGUGGCUUUCAGCUGUUGGUAAACCAACGUUCGUUCUAUAGCAAGUGAAUGCAAAACGGCACCGAAAAUCAUUUCGUGUGAGCAAAAGAGCAAAAACCAUAUGGAGGAGAUUUGUUGCAACUCGUUCGCAAGCUUGUAUCAAACACAGAUUAAAUCACACAUCGUACAAACACACAGCCGGCGUGAAUGAGUAUGAAGCGGCAAAGAAAUAAGCAGAAGGCAACGCAUCUACCGCAAAGUGUCACACAACCUGUCAAGGACAACGCUGUUGCGACUUUUCGUGGCUUGCGGCAAAAUGCGAACGAAAGUGGUGAUUUUUUUUUUAUCAAGACAAAUCCGCCACUUUCUCGCAAGUUUCAAAGUUUUCAACCUUUGCAGUCGCUUAAAUUUGUCCCAUUUCACGUUGAAGUGUUCGUGGUUUAUCGAGCUUUUCCCCGAGGGAUGGUUCUAGACUAACGCGAAGAGGAUUUAAAAUUUAAUCCUUGUAAAGAUGCGAUCAAAAGGCACGGACAAGGAGAACGUUAGCGUGAGUGCAUUGGUGUAGGAUUGCUGGAAGUUGUGUAUUUGCUGGAAAACUCAAUUACAUCAGUUUCUGCAACCAUGGGGUGUAGUGAUGGCCGUGGAAAAUCUGCCUACUUGGAAGCGUUUUCCAGCCGUUCGCUUCCGAAUCUCUUAUCCCACUGUCAAUUGGGCCAAUCAAAUCGUUGAUUAGAUUUCAUCCGAAAGGGAAAUACCUUCGUCAGAAGCUUUCUCCCCCAUUCUCCCCACAGGCAGGGAGGUCUGUUUGACCGCAUUCGAUCGAAUGGAAAUCCUGCGGGAAAUCCACGCUACGAAUGCUGUGGCAAGCGCCGGUGAGAAUGUUGAGAACAGAAGCUCGUUGGAAUAGUUGGCAGCCGAUGCUAUUUGCCGAAUGGAAUAAUAAUUUUAUUAAUGUUAUUCAAAAUUGCAGCAAAAACGUAAAAGGAGUGAAUGUAAUUUUAAUAAACCAUUUGACAUAUUU